GAUGAACGCUAGCGGGAGGCUUAACACAUGCAAGUCGAGGGGCAGCAUAGGGUAGCAAUACUCUGAUGGCGACCGGCAAACGGGUGAGUAACGCGUAUGCAACCUACCCUGUACAGGGGGAUAACCCGGAGAAAUUCGGACUAAUAUCCCGUAAUAAUAUCCGGAGGCAUCUUUGGAUAUUUAAAGUUUCGACGGUACGGGAUGGGCAUGCGUAACAUUAGCUGGUUGGUAAGGUAACGGCUUACCAAGGCUAUGAUGUUUAGGGGUCCUGAGAGGGUGGUCCCCCACACUGGUACUGAGACACGGACCAGACUCCUACGGGAGGCAGCAGUGAGGAAUAUUGGUCAAUGGGCGCAAGCCUGAACCAGCCAUCCCGCGUGCAGGAAGACGGCCCUAUGGGUUGUAAACUGCUUUUCCAGGGAGAGAAGCUUAACGCACGUGUUGCGUGACUGACGGUACCCUGGGAAUAAGCAUCGGCUAACUCCGUGCCAGCAGCCGCGGU
Molecule: ribosomal RNA, 502 nt
Filed under: uncultured bacterium
Lineage: Bacteria
Description: bacterial SSU rRNA
Rfam family: Bacterial small subunit ribosomal RNA
Source: RNAcentral